RNAcentral lists this non-coding RNA (21 nucleotides) under Arabidopsis thaliana (thale cress). The record is from RNAcentral. Lineage: Eukaryota; Viridiplantae; Streptophyta; Magnoliopsida; Brassicales; Brassicaceae.
CGAGCUGAUGACUCGCGCUUA